UCCAACCCAUUGUGACCUUACCUAUGUUCUGUUGCCUCGGCGGCGUCGGUCAGCGCCCCUCUGAAAAGAGGACGAUGCCCCUCCCGCCGGCAGCACCAAACUCUUGAAUUUUACAGCGGAUUACAGUUCUGAUUUGAAAACAAAAAACAAGUUAAAACUUUCAACAACGGAUCUCUUGGUUCUGGCAUCGAUGAAGAACGCAGCGAAAUGCGAUAAGUAAUGUGAAUUGCAGAAUUCAGUGAAUCAUCGAAUCUUUGAACGCACAUUGCGCCCGGCAGUAAUCUGCCGGGCAUGCCUGUCCGAGCGUCAUUUCAACCCUCGAACCUCCGUUUCCUUAGGGAAGCCUAGGGUCGGUGUUGGGGCGCUACGGCGAGUCCUCGCGACCCCCGUAGGCCCUGAAAUACAGUGGCGGUCCCGCCGCGGUUGCCUUCUGCGUAGUAAGUCUCUUUUGCAAGCUCGCAUUGGGUCCCGGCGGAGGCCUGCCGUCAAACCACCUAACAACUCCAGAUGGUUUGACCUCGGAUCAGGUAGGGUUACC
RNAcentral lists this ribosomal RNA (538 nucleotides) under Scedosporium apiospermum. RNAcentral describes it as "eukaryotic LSU rRNA". The stretch from base 156 to 309 matches the Rfam family "5.8S ribosomal RNA". Lineage: Eukaryota; Fungi; Ascomycota; Sordariomycetes; Microascales; Microascaceae. The record is from RNAcentral.